Arachis ipaensis is the source of this 298-nucleotide non-coding RNA. Lineage: Eukaryota; Viridiplantae; Streptophyta; Magnoliopsida; Fabales; Fabaceae. The record is from RefSeq and is a predicted model, not a curated record.
ACGAAAACAAUUCAAAUUCUCUUGCAAUAUCGAACACAUAUUGUUAGAACAUGCAAGACAAGCUCAAUGUAAUUGCCUAAUUCAAUUACAAUUCACCGAGGGAAGAACACAAUUCUUGCCAAUUACACUCAAGAGUUCAAAGCAUAGCUUGUUUUUCUCUUGAAAAUUCUGCUUUUUUCACCUCGAGCUGAAAAUUCAGAGUUGAAGAUUUGUCGAAUCCAAUGAGUAAUAUAAACAACGAAGAACUCAAAGAAGCUAAGAAUUCCAACAGAAACGACCGAUGAAGGGUUCACGGUUA